Molecule: ribosomal RNA, 505 nt
Filed under: uncultured bacterium
Lineage: Bacteria
Description: partial 16S ribosomal RNA
Rfam family: Bacterial small subunit ribosomal RNA
Source: RNAcentral
GACGAACGCUGGCGGCGUGCCUAAUACAUGCAAGUAGAACGCACAGUUUAUACCGUAGCUUGCUACACCAUAGACUGUGAGUUGCGAACGGGUGAGUAACGCGUAGGUAACCUGCCUGGUAGCGGGGGAUAACUAUUGGAAACGAUAGCUAAUACCGCAUAAUAUUAAUUAUUGCAUGAUAAUUGAUUGAAAGAUGCAACUGCAUCACUACCAGAUGGACCUGCGUUGUAUUAGCUAGUAGGUGAGGUAACGGCUCACCUAGGCGACGAUACAUAGCCGAGCCGAGAGGGUGAACGGCCACCACGGGAAUGAGAAAAGGCCCAGACCUCUACGGGGGGCAGCAGUAGGGAAUCUUCGGAAAUGGACGAAAGUCUGAACGAGCAACGACGCGGGAGUGAAGAAGGUUCUCGGAUCGGAAAGCUCUGUUGUAAGAGAAGAAAGGGUGUGAGAGUGGAAAGUUCACACUGUGACGGUAUCUUACCAGAAAGGGACGGCUAACUACGUG